Molecule: long non-coding RNA, 3218 nt
Organism: Oreochromis aureus
Lineage: Eukaryota; Metazoa; Chordata; Actinopteri; Cichliformes; Cichlidae
Source: Ensembl
UCAUAACUUACUUUUUAUUAACAACUUCAGAUUUUUUUACAAAGCAAACAGCAAAAUUAUUUUACAGGCUGAAGUGGAAAACAAAGUUUCUCCCCAACAUCACAGCUGAUAUAAAAACACACUUUUCAAAGAGACAAACGGUAAUCGCCGCAGACGACUCUGAGCGACUCCUGCGUCCACAGUUCAGCAGGAACAGAUGUUUGGUUUUUACUUUUCAUCUAAAUUUAACGUAAUCACACUCUGCUGCGCGAACGCUGCGCCACAUACUCCAGUGUAAUGCUCAAAGCCUGCAUUACAUGGAUUUUAUUUAUGUGACGCACUUUUCAUCUGUAACAGCUGCUGCUCGCUGGAUUUAAAAUGAGACAAUGCUCGCUGUCAGACCCGUCUUAUCUGCUCGGGAUUUGCUGUAGGUCCACUUUAUGAGAGCAGCUGCAUUAUGUAAGAAAACACAAAACACUGAAUAUGACUCGGGAACAGCAGCCCUCCAAAAUAAAAGUCCAGCCUCAAACCUCACUGAGAAAAAGCCGAAAGUGGAGCUGAUUUCUGUGAAAGCGAGCGAGCGCUGCAGGCUGAUGGGAGCAGGCAGCACACAGGGAGAGUUGUCCUGCAGCUGAUCCGGGCGAUUCAUGGAGCAUUUAGUCCAUCCAGACAAGUCAGCGUCAACACUUUAACUGAAACACACACACACACACACACACACACAGGGCUGUGUCAGGAGUGUGUGUGCCUGAGAGAGAAGACACUGCAGGCGGCCGAACAGACAGAUAAAAAGAUGGUGCAAAGUUUGAAUAUGAGACAUUUUCCCGGGGCUGAAGCACAGACUGGAAGAAGCCUCCAGGGUUUCUUCCUGUUAAAAGGGAGUUUUUCCUUCCCACUCUCGCCAAAGUGCUUGCUCAUAGGGGGUCAUACAAUUGUUGGGUUUAUCUGUAUAUGUAUUAUUGUAGGGUCUACCUUACAAUAUAAAGCACCUUGAGGUGACUGUUGUUGUGAUUUGGCGCUGUAUAAAUAAAACUGAAUUGAAUAUAAAAGAUGGAUGCAGCCAUUGUGACAUCACUCAUUAGCCAAGUCCUCCAAAAGCUACAGUUCCUCCAGGGUCCACUCGAGGCUCCAAAAGUGAGUCAGCGGCAGUUUCGUUUCAAACACUUUGCCUUUAAAAAAAAAUUCUCUUAUGCAGUGAAGACUAACCAGAGGUAAUUUUACCGGCAAACAAAUCAAUUUGAAAUAUACUGAAAGAAUCCUCAGAGACCGACUUCCUGCAACUAUCCAGGAACAAUCUGCUGACAAUCUGUGCACCUUCCAGCAUGAUGGAGCUUUAUGUCACAAGACAAACAUGAUCUGAAGUUUGCAGAAAUCUUGAAACUUUGGAUUCAGGGGCAGGAAAAUUCCCGUAUCGUAAUCUGACCCGGAAUCUUUGGUCGGUGCUUGGACGAGGAGAAGUCGACAAAGUGACCAACAGACUGAAACACUGAUCGGGCAAGAGUGGAUCUAACAAGUCGUGAUGGUGACUGGACAGGUUCUUACACUGCACACUCAAAGGGCUUCAUCCAGCGUGUCUCACUGACACAAGCACCGUUUCUAACAUUCACACUGCCGUGGAUGCAUCUGAGAGCAGAUGCACAGGAAUACUCUGGCAUGCAGACUAUCAACCUUCCAGGUAGAUGACUGUAAAUUUGUCGAUACAACCAGAGUUUGGAGAAUUUACUACUUUGGUGUGUCUGAGUGUUUGCCGGGUUCUUUUAGACUUGUAAAAAAUCUGACAGGGGCUCCACGGGGCUGUGAUUCAUACAUUCAAUUGGCAGGAAAAAGGUUGCAUCAGGAAGGGAAUCCAGCGUAAAUCUGCAAAAUCAAACCACCUGCUGUGAAACCUUUUAUGGCAGAGGACCAGCAGAACUAGCUUUAAACUUCUCACAGUCUGACAGAAAACACUAAAAGGAGCCGAAACAAGUAAAUCGACAAGUUAAAAACUUUCACAGGCAGCUUCAGCCUGGUACCUCGGCUAAUUCCAGUCCCUGAACUGGACCUCUGGACCCUGUUUGUACUGUUGGAGCCUUUUUAAUGACAUCAUCUGACCAAUGAUAUGGCUGCUGUGAGGUUACUGUAGUAACCAUGAAGUCUGAGUGAAAGUCGAGGACUAAUUAGUAGGUAUCUGUGAUGUGAGUGUGUUAGCCAUGUUAGCUAAUAAUGCGGCACCUCAGCUCUCAUCCAAAUACAGUCCCCGCUGGCUCCAAACAGACAACAUGGCUACCAAAGCGCCAACAUUUAGGAAAGCAUCUUUUAUAUACAGUCUAUGAUUUUACCCCCAGCCAGACUCCGAAGUCUGACUUUUGGCAUUAUGAUCGAAGAAUAAACCUAAAUUAUCACUAAAACCAAAGACCGACUGCGCCGUUUUGUUUUUCUGCUCAUUUCUGUGCAGUAACGAAACCCUGUGCGUCGGGGCCUCGUCGCAGGUUUUACGGUAUCUAAACCGGAACCUGCAGAAUGUGUCAAACUCAAACAAGCCGUCUCAGCACAGGAAGGAUGUUAAGUUAUGAAUUAAUAAUGAGAAUUAGACAAGCUCCACGAAAACACAAAACUGGCAUGAAAGACAAACUUCAGCCUCAUCAGAAAUACUCAAUGUUUACUCACAUUUUACUUUUAUGAUUCACAAUUUAAGUCUCUGCAGGUUGAAGAAAUCAAAACACAAAUUUUUCAUUCAUCUUAAAAAAACAAACAAACCAAAAAAGCCCCCAAAACCCACUGCAGUGACAACGCAGAGUGACGAGACAGAAAACCUGCGCGUGUAAACGUGAAAAAUCCAACAAGCACAAAACAUUUAACGUUAAAUCUGUCAAAAUAUACUGUUUGUGUGUGCAGAGUAUACAGAGAGAGGCGUUUAAGUACAAACAGGAAAUAAAAAGAACCAAAUAAAAGGAUCUGAGCGUCGCUGCCGCUCGACUCUGCUCCCAGCGUAUGUACAGGUCAAGGCUUACAAAGCUCAUAAGUUCAGGGAUGAAAUCACACGGCGACAGUGAGCUCGCUCCCAUCGGUUCCCUCCUUCAUCCAUCGCUUCAUCUCUCCCUCCUCCUCGUCACGUGGGCGUACCUCUCGGUGAUGCCAUAGUCUCUUGGUUUUUUAAAAAAAAACUCCUCUUUUGUGCUUCACUCCAUCUUGGACAUCUCAAACUUCGUCGUCAUCGUUUCCUGCAACAGAAAACACACCAGCACGUUUAUAGUUUCAGG